AACUCCUCGAUGUUUGCGACCACCGCUAGGUGGCAGUGGUGUCGAGCGCUAAGGACGCGGGGGAGCGGGUGCUAUUCAAAACAAUGGUCGGCGUCGCGUCGUAGGGUCGUUUGCCUUGUUUUUUGAAAAGUUAAGCCCCUUUGGAGCAGAUUGGAAGGUUUCAGAAGAUGCAGGAAGACGGCAAGAUCAAAGAGAUGGGUUCAGUUUUCACGGUGUGCUGACUUGAAUUGGCAUCCUGUGAUUUGUGAUGUGAAUUAUGAUGCACGCACUCGCAGGUGCACGCCCGCUGCGGACACGUGUGACGUGACGGCAGCAGGCGGACGGGGUGUGAACUGUGAACUGGCUCGACCGAAAAUUGUUUAAGUUAUCACAGCGCAUGUGUAACUGACUAACAUACCUAUGGGCAUACCCAUUGAGCGGAUAAUGCGUUCGUGUGCAUUAUCGUGCUUGCAUUUAUUCCCGAUAUACUCUGGUGGGAGAUGUGAAUUGGAAACCAACUUGGUGCUACGACACCGUUUAGUAGGCAUGUGGCACGUCGUUUCUCGAAGACUUCCUAUCAGUCUAUUAUUGUAAACAUUGUGUGUCAUCUUUCCUCUUAGUUGUCAUUUGAACCUGUGUUAAAUUCUGAACCUCAGACCGGAACAGACUAGGAAAUCGCACGCGAAAUUCAUUAAGUUGCAAUAGCAUCAAUCACACGCAAGUAGGUGCGUGCUAUGGAUGCGAGUGCGACCGGGGUUUAUUUGAAUAGGCUCUCGGUCUCGCACAUGAUUUCUGACUGCGGAAAGAGUCGGUUUCAGCCUCUACUCAGUAUGCAUUUCGCUCAUGCGACGGCAAAUAUAAGUUCAAUACGGAAA
This 854-nucleotide long non-coding RNA is filed under the name Amphibalanus amphitrite. RNAcentral's name for it is "uncharacterized LOC122369685". Lineage: Eukaryota; Metazoa; Arthropoda; Thecostraca; Balanomorpha; Balanidae. The record is from RNAcentral.